RNAcentral lists this ribosomal RNA (468 nucleotides) under uncultured bacterium. RNAcentral's name for it is "partial 16S ribosomal RNA". It matches the Rfam family "Bacterial small subunit ribosomal RNA", at positions 28 to 492 of the family's 1533-position model. The record is from RNAcentral.
GACGAACGCUGGCGGCGUGCUUAACACAUGCAAGUCGAACGGAAAGGCCCUGCUUUUGUGGGGUGCUCGAGUGGCGAACGGGUGAGUAACACGUGAGUAACCUGCCCUUGACUUUGGGAUAACUUCAGGAAACUGGGGCUAAUACCGGAUAGGAGCUCCUGCUGCAUGGUGGGGGUUGGAAAGUUUCGGCGGUUGGGGAUGGACUCGCGGCUUAUCAGCUUGUUGGUGGGGUAGUGGCUUACCAAGGCUUUGACGGGUAGCCGGCCUGAGAGGGUGACCGGCCACAUUGGGAAUGGAGUGCGGCCCAGACUCCUACGGGAGGGAACAGUGGGGAAUAGUGAACAAUGGGGGGAAGGCUUAUGCAGCAACGCCGCGGGCGGGAUGACGGCCUUCGGGUUGUAAACCUCUUUCGCCUGUGACGGAGCGUGAGGGGGGGUAAAUGGGAAAAAAACAACGGGUAACUAAGGU